UGGUUGAGGAUGAUAACUAAAUGAAGAGAGAGAAACUGAGAGCGAAAGGAGUGAGAGAGAGAGAGAGAGAGUGUUCCAGAACCUGCUCCCUCGAAUCAAAUUUUUAUCCAAAAAGAAAACCUUGGGAGACAGAGAGAGGAGAAAUCACACAACCUGAGACCAAGCAGUGAUUUUCAUGGCAAAAUAAUGCUCAGCUGGCGAUUAUGGACCGUGGCUAUGAUUUGUUGAGCUUCUUUUAGUUGUGAAACUGAAGCACUCUCUUUCCAAAGACUACCGAUCACACAUGCAGCAGAACAACAUCCUGACGAGGUCAGAUUUUCAAGGUUCGAGGACAUGAAAGCAAACGUUCAUAAAGCUGCACUCCAAGUUAUGGAUUCCUACUUCUUUUGCUUGAUUGGAUUUAAUUUUAUAUGUUUUUUCAAUUUAGGUAUAUCAUAUUUUUGCAAGUGUUAUUUCAGGUUCACUAUGUGAUUGUGUCAGUUAAUUUAGCUUAAUUGUGUUAUUUCAACAUAUCUAAACUGGGUGUUUGCUUUUUGUUUCAAUUUUUAUUUUUAUUUAGAAUUUUAUUUGGUAGUCAUGCUUGGAAAAUUGGAAUUGUGAUAUAGGGUGUUUUAUUUGUUACCUAACAUUGAUUUUUUUUUUCUUGCUUAAAAGGGUGUUCACUAAAACUAAGUAAGCUAAAAUGUCAGAUGAUAUAGAAGGUAGUAUGAAUAACAAAAAUUUCAUUAUGGAUGGAUGCAGGUAUUUGAUGAAGAGCUUCUAUUACAGCAUAUGACAACAUUAAUUGCGAAAAAUUAAAUAUUGCUACAAUGUUGUAGCAAAACUCGGUUUGUUAUUGUUGAAGGAUGAUAUUUGUAACUUGUAAGCAUUCUAAGAAGUUUUUAUUGAAUGGAUAUUAUUUUUAACAAA
Molecule: long non-coding RNA, 909 nt
Organism: Quercus lobata
Lineage: Eukaryota; Viridiplantae; Streptophyta; Magnoliopsida; Fagales; Fagaceae
Exons: 4
Source: RefSeq, a predicted model, not a curated record